This 95-nucleotide small RNA is filed under the name Cycloclasticus pugetii. RNAcentral's name for it is "t44 RNA". It matches the Rfam family "t44 RNA". From Rfam's summary of the family: This family consists of a number of bacterial RNA genes of between 135 and 170 bases in length. The t44 gene is found between the map and rpsB genes in all species in the full alignment apart from Shigella flexneri. RNAcentral also lists the same sequence under 1 other name. Lineage: Bacteria; Pseudomonadati; Pseudomonadota; Gammaproteobacteria; Thiotrichales; Piscirickettsiaceae. The record is from RNAcentral.
CCACUUUUGGCAACAACGAUCACAUGCAUCAACACAUCCGGUAGGGUGCUUGAAUUAAAUCAGGUUACCGUUUGGGAUGCGUGGUAGUUAUCAAC